This 469-nucleotide ribosomal RNA is filed under the name uncultured bacterium. Its description in RNAcentral is "bacterial SSU rRNA". It matches the Rfam family "Bacterial small subunit ribosomal RNA", at positions 33 to 518 of the family's 1533-position model. The record is from RNAcentral.
ACGCUGGCGGCGUGCCUAACACAUGCAAGUCGAGCGAGGAGAUUCCUUCGGGAUGAUCCUAGCGGCGGACGGGUGAGUAACACGUGGGCAACCUGCCUCAUAGAGAGGAAUAGCCUUCCGAAAGGGAGAUUAAUACCUCAUAACAUUGCAGUUCCGCAUGGAACAGCAAUUAAAGGAGCAAUCCGCUAUGAGAUGGGCCCGCGGCGCAUUAGCUAGUUGGUGAGGUAACGGCUCACCAAGGCGACGAUGCGUAGCCGACCUGAGAGGGUGAUCGGCCACAUUGGGACUGAGACACGGCCCAGACUCCUACGGGAGGCAGCAGUGGGGAAUAUUGCACAAUGGGGGAAACCCUGAUGCCAGCAACGCCGCGUGAGUGAUGACGGCCUUCGGGUUGUAAAGCUCUGUCUUCAGGGACGAUAAUGACGGUACCUGAGGAGGAAGCCACGGCUAACUACGUGCCAGCCGCCGC